This 2894-nucleotide ribosomal RNA is filed under the name Escherichia coli. RNAcentral's name for it is "bacterial LSU rRNA". It matches the Rfam family "Bacterial large subunit ribosomal RNA". The record is from RNAcentral. Lineage: Bacteria; Pseudomonadati; Pseudomonadota; Gammaproteobacteria; Enterobacterales; Enterobacteriaceae.
ACUAAGCGUACACGGUGGAUGCCCUGGCAGUCAGAGGCGAUGAAGGACGUGCUAAUCUGCGAUAAGCGUCGGUAAGGUGAUAUGAACCGUUAUAACCGGCGAUUUCCGAAUGGGGAAACCCAGUGUGUUUCGACACACUAUCAUUAACUGAAUCCAUAGGUUAAUGAGGCGAACCGGGGGAACUGAAACAUCUAAGUACCCCGAGGAAAAGAAAUCAACCGAGAUUCCCCCAGUAGCGGCGAGCGAACGGGGAGCAGCCCAGAGCCUGAAUCAGUGUGUGUGUUAGUGGAAGCGUCUGGAAAGGCGCGCGAUACAGGGUGACAGCCCCGUACACAAAAAUGCACAUGCUGUGAGCUCGAUGAGUAGGGCGGGACACGUGGUAUCCUGUCUGAAUAUGGGGGGACCAUCCUCCAAGGCUAAAUACUCCUGACUGACCGAUAGUGAACCAGUACCGUGAGGGAAAGGCGAAAAGAACCCCGGCGAGGGGAGUGAAAAAGAACCUGAAACCGUGUACGUACAAGCAGUGGGAGCCUCUUUAUGGGGUGACUGCGUACCUUUUGUAUAAUGGGUCAGCGACUUAUAUUCUGUAGCAAGGUUAACCGAAUAGGGGAGCCGAAGGGAAACCGAGUCUUAACUGGGCGUUAAGUUGCAGGGUAUAGACCCGAAACCCGGUGAUCUAGCCAUGGGCAGGUUGAAGGUUGGGUAACACUAACUGGAGGACCGAACCGACUAAUGUUGAAAAAUUAGCGGAUGACUUGUGGCUGGGGGUGAAAGGCCAAUCAAACCGGGAGAUAGCUGGUUCUCCCCGAAAGCUAUUUAGGUAGCGCCUCGUGAAUUCAUCUCCGGGGGUAGAGCACUGUUUCGGCAAGGGGGUCAUCCCGACUUACCAACCCGAUGCAAACUGCGAAUACCGGAGAAUGUUAUCACGGGAGACACACGGCGGGUGCUAACGUCCGUCGUGAAGAGGGAAACAACCCAGACCGCCAGCUAAGGUCCCAAAGUCAUGGUUAAGUGGGAAACGAUGUGGGAAGGCCCAGACAGCCAGGAUGUUGGCUUAGAAGCAGCCAUCAUUUAAAGAAAGCGUAAUAGCUCACUGGUCGAGUCGGCCUGCGCGGAAGAUGUAACGGGGCUAAACCAUGCACCGAAGCUGCGGCAGCGACGCUUAUGCGUUGUUGGGUAGGGGAGCGUUCUGUAAGCCUGUGAAGGUGUGCUGUGAGGCAUGCUGGAGGUAUCAGAAGUGCGAAUGCUGACAUAAGUAACGAUAAAGCGGGUGAAAAGCCCGCUCGCCGGAAGACCAAGGGUUCCUGUCCAACGUUAAUCGGGGCAGGGUGAGUCGACCCCUAAGGCGAGGCCGAAAGGCGUAGUCGAUGGGAAACAGGUUAAUAUUCCUGUACUUGGUGUUACUGCGAAGGGGGGACGGAGAAGGCUAUGUUGGCCGGGCGACGGUUGUCCCGGUUUAAGCGUGUAGGCUGGUUUUCCAGGCAAAUCCGGAAAAUCAAGGCUGAGGCGUGAUGACGAGGCACUACGGUGCUGAAGCAACAAAUGCCCUGCUUCCAGGAAAAGCCUCUAAGCAUCAGGUAACAUCAAAUCGUACCCCAAACCGACACAGGUGGUCAGGUAGAGAAUACCAAGGCGCUUGAGAGAACUCGGGUGAAGGAACUAGGCAAAAUGGUGCCGUAACUUCGGGAGAAGGCACGCUGAUAUGUAGGUGAGGUCCCUCGCGGAUGGAGCUGAAAUCAGUCGAAGAUACCAGCUGGCUGCAACUGUUUAUUAAAAACACAGCACUGUGCAAACACGAAAGUGGACGUAUACGGUGUGACGCCUGCCCGGUGCCGGAAGGUUAAUUGAUGGGGUUAGCGGUAACGCGAAGCUCUUGAUCGAAGCCCCGGUAAACGGCGGCCGUAACUAUAACGGUCCUAAGGUAGCGAAAUUCCUUGUCGGGUAAGUUCCGACCUGCACGAAUGGCGUAAUGAUGGCCAGGCUGUCUCCACCCGAGACUCAGUGAAAUUGAACUCGCUGUGAAGAUGCAGUGUACCCGCGGCAAGACGGAAAGACCCCGUGAACCUUUACUAUAGCUUGACACUGAACAUUGAGCCUUGAUGUGUAGGAUAGGUGGGAGGCUUUGAAGUGUGGACGCCAGUCUGCAUGGAGCCGACCUUGAAAUACCACCCUUUAAUGUUUGAUGUUCUAACGUUGACCCGUAAUCCGGGUUGCGGACAGUGUCUGGUGGGUAGUUUGACUGGGGCGGUCUCCUCCUAAAGAGUAACGGAGGAGCACGAAGGUUGGCUAAUCCUGGUCGGACAUCAGGAGGUUAGUGCAAUGGCAUAAGCCAGCUUGACUGCGAGCGUGACGGCGCGAGCAGGUGCGAAAGCAGGUCAUAGUGAUCCGGUGGUUCUGAAUGGAAGGGCCAUCGCUCAACGGAUAAAAGGUACUCCGGGGAUAACAGGCUGAUACCGCCCAAGAGUUCAUAUCGACGGCGGUGUUUGGCACCUCGAUGUCGGCUCAUCACAUCCUGGGGCUGAAGUAGGUCCCAAGGGUAUGGCUGUUCGCCAUUUAAAGUGGUACGCGAGCUGGGUUUAGAACGUCGUGAGACAGUUCGGUCCCUAUCUGCCGUGGGCGCUGGAGAACUGAGGGGGGCUGCUCCUAGUACGAGAGGACCGGAGUGGACGCAUCACUGGUGUUCGGGUUGUCAUGCCAAUGGCACUGCCCGGUAGCUAAAUGCGGAAGAGAUAAGUGCUGAAAGCAUCUAAGCACGAAACUUGCCCCGAGAUGAGUUCUCCCUGACUCCUUGAGAGUCCUGAAGGAACGUUGAAGACGACGACGUUGAUAGGCCGGGUGUGUAAGCGCAGCGAUGCGUUGAGCUAACCGGUACUAAUGAACCGUGAGGCUUAACC